UCCAGCUGAAGUUUCUUCUAAACAAUUGCUUUGCCCCCCUUGCAUAGAAGAGUCUUAUUUACUUACCUGACAAGUGAGAUUUCUUAGCCCACCUUUCCCCACUCUCAUUCUUUUACUGCAGCUUCCUACCCACCAAUAUUGAGAAGGAAGUAAAAUGGAAAAGCCAAGAAAGAAUGGUCGAAUCAGGACACCAUAUGUCCAUUCCUGGCUUCUACUCCUUUUUAUAAACACAAGAGUGGAAAGGUUUGGCUUUAUUCGACACCUCAAAGAGGAGAUGCAGGAGGAUGAGCAGUCUGCAGUGCAGGAGGUUGGAGACAAAGAGAAGGUGAUGUCACAGAAACCUACGGGCACAUGGUCCCUUC
Molecule: long non-coding RNA, 362 nt
Filed under: Homo sapiens (human)
Lineage: Eukaryota; Metazoa; Chordata; Mammalia; Primates; Hominidae
Description: HSALNT0121634
Source: RNAcentral